RNAcentral lists this non-coding RNA (215 nucleotides) under Rhodovulum sp. RNAcentral also lists the same sequence under 1 other name. The record is from RNAcentral. Lineage: Bacteria; Pseudomonadati; Pseudomonadota; Alphaproteobacteria; Rhodobacterales; Paracoccaceae.
GUGAUACCGGACGAGUGUGGUUCUCGGCCGGAGUCGUCCGUCCGGGAUUAAAAGGGAACACGGUGCGCCGUCGCGAGACGGCAAUGCCGUGGCUGCCCCCGCAACUGUGAGCGGCAAGGAUCGCCGAGACGAGCCACUGGCCGGCAAACGGCUGGGAAGGUUCGGCGAGACGCAGACCCGCGAGCCAGGAGACCUGCCACACCCGUCCGCCAUCA